RNAcentral lists this ribosomal RNA (459 nucleotides) under uncultured bacterium. RNAcentral's name for it is "partial 16S ribosomal RNA". It matches the Rfam family "Bacterial small subunit ribosomal RNA", at positions 338 to 795 of the family's 1533-position model. The record is from RNAcentral.
CCUACGGGUGGCAGCAGUGAGGAAUAUUGGUCAAUGGCCGGACGGCUGAACCAGCCAAGCCGCGUGAAGGACGCAGGUGCCAAGCAUUGUAAACUUCUUUUGUCAAGGUACAAAAUCCGGCUCGAGAGCCUGACCGAGGGUCCUUGCAGAAACAGCAUCGGCUAACUCCGUGCCAGCAGCCGCGGUAAUACGGGGGAUGCGAGCGUUAUCCGGAUUUAUUGGGUUUAAAGGGUGCGUAGGCGGACUGUUAAGUCAGCGGUAAAAGCCCGGGGCGCAACCCCGGCGAGCCGUUGAAACUGGCUGGCUUGAGAUGUCGAGAGGUAUGCGGAAUGCGCAGUGUAGCGGUGAAAUGCUUAGAUAGUGCGCAGAACUCCGAUGGCGAAGGCAACAUACCGGCGGCGAUCUGACGCUGAGGCACGAAAGCGUGGGUAGCGAACAGGAUUAGAUACCCCAGUAGUC